GACGAACGCUGGCGGCGUGCUUAACACAUGCAAGUCGAACGGAAAGGCCCUGCUUUUGUGGGGUUCUCGGGGGGCGAACGGGGGAGUAACACGUGAGUAACCUUCCCUUGACUUUGGGAUAACUUUAGGAAAAUGGGGCUAAAACCGGAUAGGAGCCCCUGCUGCCUUGUGGGGGUUGGAAAGUUUCGGCGGGUGGGGAUGGACUCGCGGCUUAUCAGCUUGUUGGUGGGGUAGUGGCUUACCAAGGCUUUGACGGGUAGCCGGCCUGAGAGGGUGACCGGCCACAUUGGGACUGAGAUACGGCCCAGACUCCUACGGGAGGCAGCAGUGGGGAAUAUUGCACAAUGGGCGGAAGCCUGAUGCAGCAACGCCGCGUGCGGGAUGACGGCCUUCGGGUUGUAAACCGCUUUCGCCUGUGACGAAGCGUGAGUGACGGUAAUGGGUAAAGAAGCACCGGCUAACUACGUG
RNAcentral lists this ribosomal RNA (468 nucleotides) under uncultured bacterium. RNAcentral's name for it is "partial 16S ribosomal RNA". It matches the Rfam family "Bacterial small subunit ribosomal RNA", at positions 28 to 507 of the family's 1533-position model. The record is from RNAcentral.